This 492-nucleotide ribosomal RNA is filed under the name uncultured bacterium. RNAcentral describes it as "partial 16S ribosomal RNA". It matches the Rfam family "Bacterial small subunit ribosomal RNA", at positions 29 to 507 of the family's 1533-position model. The record is from RNAcentral.
AGUGAACGCUGGCGGUAGGCCUAACACAUGCAAGUCGAACGGCAGCACAGUAAGAGCUUGCUCUUACGGGUGGCGAGUGGCGGACGGGUGAGGAAUACAUCGGAAUCUACUUUUUCGUGGGGGAUAACGUAGGGAAACUUACGCUAAUACCGCAUACGACCUACGGGUGAAAGCAGGGGAUCUUCGGACCUUGCGCGAUCGAAUGAGCCGAUGUCGGAUUAGCUAGUUGGCGGGGUAAAGGCCCACCAAGGCGACGAUCCGUAGCUGGUCUGACAGGAUGAUCAGCCACACUGGAACUGAGACACGGUCCAGACUCCUACGGGAGGCAGCAGUGGGGAAUAUUGGACAAUGGGCGCAAGCCUGAUCCAGCCAUACCGCGUGGGUGAAGAAGGCCUUCGGGUUGUAAAGCCCUUUUGUUGGGAAAGAAAAGCAGCAGGUUAAUACCCCGCUGUUCUGACGGUACCCAAAGAAUAAGCACCGGCUAACUUCGUG